GGGGAAUAUUGCACAAUGGGCGCAAGCCUGAUGCAGCGACGCCGCGUGAGGGAUGACGGCCUUCGGGUUGUAAACCUCUUUCGCCAGGGACGAAGCGCAAGUGACGGUACCUGGUAAAGAAGCACCGGCCAACUACGUGCCAGCAGCCGCGGUAAUACGUAGGGUGCGAGCGUUGUCCGGAAUUACUGGGCGUAAAGAGCUCGUAGGCGGUUUGUCACGUCGUCUGUGAAAUCCUGCAACUCAAUUGUAGGCGUGCAGGCGAUACGGGCAGACUUGAGUACUACAGGGGAGACUGGAAUUCCUGGUGUAGCGGUGAAAUGCGCAGAUAUCAGGAGGAACACCGGUGGCGAAGGCGGGUCUCUGGGUAGUAACUGACGCUGAGGAGCGAAAGCGUGGGGAGCAAAC
RNAcentral lists this ribosomal RNA (405 nucleotides) under uncultured bacterium. RNAcentral describes it as "bacterial SSU rRNA". It matches the Rfam family "Bacterial small subunit ribosomal RNA", at positions 356 to 773 of the family's 1533-position model. The record is from RNAcentral.